CUGCGAAGGCUCAUUAUAUCAGUUAUAGUGAACGGCAAGGAUACUAAUUGGAUAACCGUAGUAAUUCAGGGCUAAUACAUGAGUAAAGUCCCAUUGGGAUGUGUUUAUUAGAAUGAAAACCAUAUGCUUCGGCAUGAUAGUGAGUAAUAGUAACCUAUCGUAUCGCAUGCUUAAAGUAGCGAUGAGUCUUUCAAGUUUCUGCCCUAUCAGCUUUCGAUGGUAGCAUAUGGGUCUACCAUG
Molecule: ribosomal RNA, 240 nt
Filed under: Blastocystis sp.
Lineage: Eukaryota; Bigyra; Opalinata; Blastocystidae
Description: partial 18S ribosomal RNA
Rfam family: Eukaryotic small subunit ribosomal RNA
Source: RNAcentral